Molecule: ribosomal RNA, 274 nt
Filed under: uncultured bacterium
Lineage: Bacteria
Description: partial 16S ribosomal RNA
Rfam family: Bacterial small subunit ribosomal RNA
Source: RNAcentral
AUACGGAGGGUGCAAGCGUUACUCGGAAUCACUGGGCGUAAAGCGCGCGCAGGCGGCUAUUUAAGUUGGAUGUGAAAGCCUACGGCUCAACCGUAGAACUGCAUCCAAAACUAUUUAGCUAGAGUGUGGGAGAGGAAGAUGGAAUUAGUUGUGUAGGGGUAAAAUCCGUAGAGAUAACUAGGAAUACCAAAAGCGAAGGUAAUCUUCUGGAACACUACUGACGCUGAGGCGCGAAAGCGUGGGGAGCAAACGGGAUUAGAUACCCUAGUAGUCC